UGGGGAAUAUUGCACAAUGGGCGCAAGCCUGAUGCAGCCAUGCCGCGUGUGUGAAGAAGGCCUUCGGGUUGUAAAGCACUUUCAGCGGGGAGGAAGGCGUUAAGGUUAAUAACCUUGGCGAUUGACGUUACCCGCAGAAGAAGCACCGGCUAACUCCGUGCCAGCAGCCGCGGUAAUACGGAGGGUGCAAGCGUUAAUCGGAAUUACUGGGCGUAAAGCGCACGCAGGCGGUUGAUUGAGUCAGAUGUGAAAUCCCCGGGCUUAACCCGGGAAUUGCAUCUGAUACUGGUCAGCUAGGGUCUUGUAGAGGGGGGUAGAAUUCCACGUGUAGCGGUGAAAUGCGUAGAGAUGUGGAGGAAUACCGGUGGCGAAGGCGGCCCCCUGGACAAAGACUGACGCUCAGGUGCGAAAGCGUGGGGAGCAAACAGG
This 429-nucleotide ribosomal RNA is filed under the name Chloroflexota bacterium. RNAcentral's name for it is "Chloroflexi bacterium partial 16S ribosomal RNA". It matches the Rfam family "Bacterial small subunit ribosomal RNA", at positions 355 to 776 of the family's 1533-position model. The record is from RNAcentral. Lineage: Bacteria; Bacillati; Chloroflexota.